RNAcentral lists this small nucleolar RNA (67 nucleotides) under Hepatospora eriocheir. RNAcentral describes it as "Small nucleolar RNA R38". It matches the Rfam family "Small nucleolar RNA R38". Rfam says of the family: snoR38 is a C/D box small nucleolar RNA conserved across yeast, human, Arabidopsis and rice. It is encoded in the intron of elongation factor-1 gamma in both pombe and cerevisiae. snoR38 guides the methylation of 2'-O-ribose sites in 28S rRNA. The record is from Rfam by way of RNAcentral. Lineage: Eukaryota; Fungi; Microsporidia; Hepatosporidae.
AACAGAAAAUGAUGAAACAAGUUAUCCCUGGCUGAUAUUGAUGAUGAUAAAAUAAACUGAUUCUGUA